This is a long non-coding RNA of Monodelphis domestica (gray short-tailed opossum), 830 nucleotides long. RefSeq lists it as uncharacterized. Lineage: Eukaryota; Metazoa; Chordata; Mammalia; Didelphimorphia; Didelphidae. The record is from RefSeq and is a predicted model, not a curated record.
ACUCACAAGGAUACACACUAGGAAGAUGUACCAAGAAGCCUCCCUGAGGCAGGGCAAAGGACUGGAGACUGGGGUGGGGGGGGGGGGUGUUCUGGGGCUCACCAAGGAAGGCCCAGGCACAUGAGGAGACUCCAGGAAGGACACAGAAAACUUGUAUGGGAUGAAAGGUUUGCAAAGCAGUUUCCAACCCCAAUCAAUAAGACACUGCAAGUACUAUAUUCUGAGCCUCAUCUGACAAAGCCUCAUUGUACUGAGGCUCCGGGGUACCCAGUGUCCUGAGUGCAACCCACAGAGCCUUCCACAUGUGGACAGAGUUUCUCCAGGAUGAAUGACAGCUCCCCUGCACUGAGGAUGUUGCUGUUUCAGGGAUAGGGGAAAGACGCAGAUGCAAAUAGAGAGGGAAAACCAAGACAGGCACAAAUGAAUUCAACUGAGCUGAGUUCUGGCAUCUUUUUAUAUGUUGUUCACUGUCCAAUUGUACUUCUCAGCAGUUUUAACUCCAAAGAGAAAACAGUCUUCCAGCAUCACGUCCCAGCACUGACCCAGUCCAACUAGCUUACCAUGUGCAAUAGUGAGGAUUGUCUGUGGAAACUGAGGAGGCUAAAAUCUUGUGAUGCUUGUUAUUUGGGAGAAAGAAAAAUGAAAGCAAGUACUAAGCCUACUGAAGCCGGGACAAAGCAUGUAUGCUUGUUGCAGACAAGUCCUCAAGGAGGCCCAGGAUCUGAGACCAUCCCAGGCAAGUCAUGGAAAACGGGGUCACCUUUCUCAAUGAACAAGAAAUAAAAGUUAUGGAGAGAUAACAACAACAACAAUAAACUGGCAAGAAAGAA